This is a non-coding RNA of Paramarasmius palmivorus, 89 nucleotides long. Lineage: Eukaryota; Fungi; Basidiomycota; Agaricomycetes; Agaricales; Marasmiaceae. The record is from the annotation of a GenBank genome assembly.
GCGUUAGUGGUCUAACGGUUAUGAUGCGACCUUCCCAAGGUGUAUGAUUCGCCCAGGUCGCGAACGGGGUUCGACUCCCCGCUGACGCA